Molecule: transfer RNA, 74 nt
Filed under: Bacteroidales bacterium
Lineage: Bacteria; Pseudomonadati; Bacteroidota; Bacteroidia; Bacteroidales
Description: tRNA-Ala
Rfam family: tRNA
About the family: Transfer RNA (tRNA) molecules are approximately 80 nucleotides in length. Their secondary structure includes four short double-helical elements and three loops (D, anti-codon, and T loops).
Source: RNAcentral
GGGGAUAUAGCUCAGUUGGCUAGAGUGCCACGCUGGCAGCGUGGAAGUCAGGGGUUCGACUCCCCUUAUCUCCA